This 422-nucleotide ribosomal RNA is filed under the name uncultured Pedobacter sp. Its description in RNAcentral is "bacterial SSU rRNA". It matches the Rfam family "Bacterial small subunit ribosomal RNA", at positions 355 to 774 of the family's 1533-position model. Lineage: Bacteria; Pseudomonadati; Bacteroidota; Sphingobacteriia; Sphingobacteriales; Sphingobacteriaceae. The record is from RNAcentral.
UAAGGAAUAUUGGUCAAUGGAGGGAACUCUGAACCAGCCAUGCCGCGUGCAGGAAGACAGCCCUCUGGGUCGUAAACUGCUUUUAUUCGGGAAUAAACCUAUUUACGUGUAAAUAGCUGAAUGUACCGAAGGAAUAAGGAUCGGCUAACUCCGUGCCAGCAGCCGCGGUAAUACGGAGGAUCCAAGCGUUAUCCGGAUUUAUUGGGUUUAAAGGGUGCGUAGGCGGCUUAUUAAGUCAGGGGUGAAAGACGGUGGCUCAACCAUCGCAGUGCCCUUGAUACUGAUGAGCUUGAAUACACUAGAGGUAGGCGGAAUGUGACAAGUAGCGGUGAAAUGCAUAGAUAUGUCACAGAACACCGAUUGCGAAGGCAGCUUACUAUGGUGUGAUUGACGCUGAGGCACGAAAGCGUGGGGAUCAAACA